This 652-nucleotide ribosomal RNA is filed under the name uncultured bacterium. RNAcentral describes it as "bacterial SSU rRNA". It matches the Rfam family "Bacterial small subunit ribosomal RNA", at positions 202 to 842 of the family's 1533-position model. The record is from RNAcentral.
AAGAUGGCUUUGGCUAUCACUCUGGGAUGGACCUGCGGUGCAUUAGCUAGUUGGUAAGGUAACGGCUUACCAAGGCGAUGAUGCAUAGCCGAGUUGAGAGACUGAUCGGCCACAAUGGAACUGAGACACGGUCCAUACCCCUACGGGAGGCAGCAGUAGGGAAUCUUCCACAAUGGGCGCAAGCCUGAUGGAGCAACACCGCGUGAGUGAAGAAGGGUUUCGGCUCGUAAAGCUCUGUUGUUGGAGAAGAACGUGCGUGAGAGUAACUGUUCACGCAGUGACGGUAUCCAACCAGAAAGUCACGGCUAACUACGUGCCAGCAGCCGCGGUAAUACGUAGGUGGCAAGCGUUAUCCGGAUUUAUUGGGCGUAAAGCGAGCGCAGGCGGUUGCUUAGGUCUGAUGUGAAAGCCCUCGGCUUAACCGAAGAAGUGCAUCGGAAACCGGGCGACUUGAGUGCAGAAGAGGACAGUGGAACUCCAUGUGUAGCGGUGGAAUGCGUAGAUAUAUGGAAGAACACCAGUGGCGAAGGCGGCUGUCUGGUCUGCAACUGACGCUGAGGCUCGAAAGCAUGGGUAGCGAACAGGAUUAGAUACCCUGGUAGUCCAUGCCGUAAACGAUGAGUGCUAGGUGUUGGAGGGUUUCCGCCCUUCA